UUGACCUCGGAUCAGGUAGGGAUACCCGCUGAACUUAAGCAUAUCAAUAAGCGGAGGAAAAGAAACCAACAGGGAUUGCCCCAGUAACGGCGAGUGAAGCGGCAAGAGCUCAAAUUUGAAAGCUGGCCCCCUCGGG
Molecule: ribosomal RNA, 136 nt
Filed under: Penicillium citreonigrum
Lineage: Eukaryota; Fungi; Ascomycota; Eurotiomycetes; Eurotiales; Aspergillaceae
Description: partial 28S ribosomal RNA
Rfam family: Eukaryotic large subunit ribosomal RNA
Source: RNAcentral